Molecule: ribosomal RNA, 236 nt
Filed under: uncultured bacterium
Lineage: Bacteria
Description: partial 16S ribosomal RNA
Rfam family: Bacterial small subunit ribosomal RNA
Source: RNAcentral
AAUCCUGGCUCAGGAUGAACGCUGGCGGCGUGCUUAACACAUGCAAGUCGAGCGAAGCAAUUUAAGUGAAGUUUUCGGAUGGAUCUUAGAUUGACUGAGCGGCGGACGGGUGAGUAACGCGUGGAUAACCUGCCUCACACAGGGGGAUAACAGUUAGAAAUGACUGCUAAUACCGCAUAAGCGCAUAGUACCGCAUGGUAUAGUGUGAAAAACUCCGGUGGUGUGAGAUGGAUCCG